Molecule: ribosomal RNA, 84 nt
Filed under: Pseudomonas chlororaphis subsp. chlororaphis
Lineage: Bacteria; Pseudomonadati; Pseudomonadota; Gammaproteobacteria; Pseudomonadales; Pseudomonadaceae
Also listed under: 7 other names
Source: RNAcentral
UCCCAUCCCGAACUCAGAAGUGAAACGAUGCAUCGCCGAUGGUAGUGUGGGGUUUCCCCAUGUGAGAGUAGGUCAUCGUCAAGA